UACGUAGGGGGCUAGCGUUAUCCAGAAUUACUGGGUGUAAAGCGCGUGUAGGCGGCAUACCAAGUCUGUUGUGAAAUCGCCCGGCUCAACUGGGCGGGGUCAAUGGAAACUGGUAAGCUGGAGGACGGUAGAGGCGAGUGGAAUUCCCGGUGUAGUGGUGAAAUGCGUAGAGAUCGGGAGGAACACCUGUGGCGAAGGCGGCUCGCUGGGCCGAUCCUGACGCUGAGACGCGAAGGCGUGGGGAGCGAACGGG
RNAcentral lists this ribosomal RNA (253 nucleotides) under uncultured bacterium. Its description in RNAcentral is "partial 16S ribosomal RNA". It matches the Rfam family "Bacterial small subunit ribosomal RNA", at positions 524 to 776 of the family's 1533-position model. The record is from RNAcentral.